GAUGAACGCUGGCGGUGUGCCUAACACAUGCAAGUCGAGCGAAAACACGAUGAGCUUGCUCUCUUGCCGUUAGCGGCUGACGGGUGGGUAACGCGUGCAUCACCUUCUUCUUAUUCUUGGAUAAUAACGUGAAAACGCUUACACUACUACCGCAUACGUCCUACGGCUGAGAGCAGUAGAUCUUCACGCCUUUCCCGUCUCAUUUAGACGAUGUCGGAUUAGCUAGUUGGCUGGGUAAAGGCACACCAAGGCGACGAUCCGUAGCUGGUCUGAGAGGAUGAUCAGCCACACUGGAACUGAGACACGGUCCAGACUCCUACGGGAGGCAGCAGUAGGGAAUAUUGGACAAUGGGCGCAAGCCUGACGCAGCAAUACCGCGUGAGUGAAGAAGGCCUUCGGGUUGUAAAGCCCUGUUGUUGGGAAAGAAAAGCAGUAGAAGUAUAUAUGGAUGUCUUGACGGUACCUAAAGAAUAAGCACCGGCUAACUUCGUG
Molecule: ribosomal RNA, 492 nt
Filed under: uncultured bacterium
Lineage: Bacteria
Description: partial 16S ribosomal RNA
Rfam family: Bacterial small subunit ribosomal RNA
Source: RNAcentral